Non-coding RNA from Chlorocebus sabaeus (green monkey), 3231 nucleotides. Lineage: Eukaryota; Metazoa; Chordata; Mammalia; Primates; Cercopithecidae. The record is from RefSeq and is a predicted model, not a curated record.
AGGAGGCAGCUAAUCAGGGCGGGACUUGUAGACCUGGUUGAAGUCCAGGGCCCAGGAACGCUAGGGAAACCGAAAGCAGCCUCUGGGUUGGGCCUGCGGUGGGGCGGGGCUGGGGGUGUGGCCGCGCCCUGAACCUGGAGCAAGGCCAGUACAUAAAGAUUCCUGGGAACCGAAAGAGCAAGACAGGGAAGUAGCUUUGGUUGGGUUUCGUGGUACACAAAGCACAAGGCCUGGGUUGGGUUCCGAGGAAAUGAGACUUGCGGCGGGGCGGGGCUGAAGGUGUAGCAGCGCCCUGAACCUGGAGCAAGGCUGGUACAUAAACGCCUAUGUCACAAUCUGGAGUCAUCUGGAGUGUCCCAGCAGGUGAGGAAGAGCUGGGGCGCUCAGUUGAGUGCUGAGAGCCAAAGAAGCAAUAAACAGAAUCCCUUUGGUCAAGGAGAGGGAGAGAGAGGUAAGGGUCUGGUCUUCAUUUUUAAGCAGGAAGACGACUACAAACCACCAUCUGCCAUCUGCCAGGUGACACAUCUUUUUGGAAUAUUAUGAUCCUCGUGGAGACUGCAUAGUACCAUGGAGCAAACCUUACGGUUGAAGAUAGUAGACCUGUAGUUCAUACACCAAAGAAUUAAUGAAUCACGCAUGCCUACUGGAACAAAGGGAUCCAGAUAUGCAUACUUAGAAGCUGACAUUUUGGCUGGGUGCAGUGGCUCACGCCUGUAAUCCCAGCACUUUGGGAAGCUGAGGCAGGCGGAUCAUGAGGUCAGGAGAUCGAGACCAUCCUGCCUAACACGAUGCCUGAAGAAGGAGAGAGGACUGGGACUGUGGGUGAGAGUCCUGUUUGGGAUUUGUUUAUCCAGGAGCUUUUUAUACUUGUUGAAAACCCCACCCAGGGGUUGUCAUCCUGAGUGAAAGGAGGAUAUCCUCUGCCACCAUAUCAGCUGAGAAUGUCCAUGAGUGUGAGUGCUGCCUUUGAGAAGACUUCUUCUCUGCCCAGCUGGCCCCUGCAGACUGCCUCCAGCCCUAAAGGGAGCAUGAACUGCCUCAUCUGCCCAAGUCAGAAGGGAAGUGGGGAAGCAGGGAGAAAGCACAUGGUUUCUUUUUGCUGGGGCCUUAAGUCCAUGGGGGAGUUUCCCAUUUUUCCUUUUUCGUCUGCCCUGUCCAUACUCCUCUUCCUCAGAACUGAACGUGUUUUAAAUAGAAUCCCCCAACCUGAGAUCUGUCUGAUAAGGACCAAGGUCCAGCAUUUUUACUCUGGCUCAAAUUCUGAUGCCAUCUAAUGAUUUGCUUACAGACUAAAUUUUCCCCCUAUUUUUGACUCCCCCACACCUGUUUGUGCUUCCAUUAGAGACAAAGGAUUUCAAAACAUUUCUGUGAAAUAAACUGAAAUUGAAACAUGGCUUCCCUCUUCUCUUCCCCUCCCUUUGUAUGUUUCACUGGCUGGCUCUGAGUGUCCAGGUAACUGGGGAAGGAGAAAGUCACUGUUCCCUCAAAUGUUCCAGCCCAGAAGUAGCAGCUUUGCCAUAUGCUGGAUGACCACGGAGGGCUUUGUCUCAGGACAGGGUGGGGCCCAAAGUGUUUAUUCUACACCAGCAGCUAGCAGACUCAAGGGAAAAGUGCAAUGCUGAGAAGUGGGAACAUUUUGCUGAUUAUGCUGAGAAAGGCAGAAAUAUGUGUUUGUGGGGAGGCGGCCGGGCCACUCACCUUCCAGGAAACAAAAUGUGCUAUGAAGCAGGAAGCACACACAGCAUCCUGUACUUUCAUGUGGCUGGACGCAUCUCUGUACGCUUAUCCCAAGUGCUGCCUCUCUAACCUCACCACACCAAUCACAGCAACAUUGCAGAAAAGGAAAAGGAGGCCAAGGGCUUGGCUCAAAGUCACCACAGCAGUUAGUGGGGGUCAAAGAUUGCAAUGAGCAUUUCUCUUCUUCCCGCUCCAGAUGAUUGGACUUAACAAGGCCAAGGAAAGCUUAAGUGGGUCGUGAUCCUUGACUUUCCUUAAACCUCAGCAGGGUGGGAAUGGGUAAGAGGAGGAGAAGCAUAGAGUGUGAGCUUCUAUCACCCACUGCCUGCCUACCCAGGGACUGUAAGGUCUAGGUGGUGAGAUGAACUCAAAACUGAAGCAAUGAAACACUUUUAGGAAGGCUGCCUGAGAAGAAAUCUACUGACUUGGAAGUUAUGUUCAAGGGAUCAUACAGGAAAGUCAUGGGCUCCUCAACCAUCUCCAGAGACCUAAAUAAAAAGCAAAUUUAAUAAAAAUAAGGGACUGAUCACUGGAAUACUCAAGCAGAGUAAGACUGAGUGUUAAAGGAACCCUCCAAAUGAUAUUAAUGUUGACCUGGAUUACAUCCAGAAUGAGUUCUGGGUCCAGAAUUGCCUAGGACCGGAUCCUCAGGGAAGGGAUCUAUUAGCAUCAAUGUCAUCAAUGGUGAGUGACUCUGAUCUCCCAGGCUUCAGGGUCCCUUGCAGAGAUGACUGAGAGCCAAGUGCACAAAGCACAGAUGAAGCUGCUGCAGGCUGGGACCCCGGGAGCUACUGGAAUGUCCAUUCCCUGCAGCCUGCCUAUACUGAGGUUUAAUCUAGAUAACGUUUGACAAAAGGUGACAUUAAGGAGAAGAAUGUAAUUUACCCCUCUAGGAGUCUGUCUGUCUACCUAAUCUGUACAGCUGCUCCCCCACCAGCCACUCCCAUUUUUCCAAGACCAAGGGCUGCCAGUGGGAACCACAUUGCUCUGCAUUUAGUUUCCAGACCACUGCCUACCCUCCCUUCCUCAAAAGGCCCUUGCCUGGAAGGUGCUAUCCCGUCAUGCUUGUUUUCCCUUCUGGCAGGUGUCACUGGCCUUGUGGUUCACUAAGGACAUUGGCUCCUAGGUCACACUAUCCUCCCCAACAUCUGCCCUCCAGCCUGGCUAACCCCAGAUCUCACCUCUUAAGCCUCUUCCUCUAGCUCUGGCCAGCAACUCCAGGUCAUAGCCUUGACUUUGCCUUUUCCUGAGACUGCUCCACCUCUUAAUUUCCAAAGCACUCCUGUCUGGCUCAAUACACCUCCCCUGCCCAGCCCCUCACCAUGCUGGAGUUUCUACCUUGUCAAGACCUCUAAUUUCCUAAUCCCUCCCUAGUCACCUCCGGUUUUCAGUUUCCAUCUUGGUCAGAUUAAUCCUCAGACCACACAUUUCAUCACUACAAUUUCUCCUGUGCAUAUCAUCUGAAUUGCCCCAUCUUUCUCUCACCUCCUAUAC